This 497-nucleotide ribosomal RNA is filed under the name uncultured bacterium. Its description in RNAcentral is "partial 16S ribosomal RNA". It matches the Rfam family "Bacterial small subunit ribosomal RNA", at positions 28 to 507 of the family's 1533-position model. The record is from RNAcentral.
GAUGAACGCUGGCGGCGUGCCUAAUACAUGCAAGUCGAGCGAACAGACGAGGAGCUUGCUCCUCUGACGUUAGCGGCGGACGGGUUAGUAACACGUGGAUAACCUACCUAUAAGACUGGGAUAACUUCGGGAAACCGGAGCUAAUACCGGAUAAUAUAUUGAACCGCAUGGUUCAAUAUUUAAAGACGGUUUUGCUGUCACUUAUAGAUGGAUCCGCGCCGCAUUAGCUAGUUGGUAAGGUAACGGCUUACCAAGGCAACGCUGCGUAGCCGACCUGAGAGGGUGAUCGGCCACACUGGAACUGAGACACGGUCCAGACUCCUACGGGAGGCAGCAGUAGGGAAUCUUCCGCAAUGGGCGAAAGAUUGACGGAGAAACGCCGCGUGAGUGAUGAAGGUAUUCGGAUCGUAAAACUCUGUUAUUAGGGAAGAACAAAUGUGUAAGUAACUAUGCACGUCUUGACGGUACCUAAUCAGAAAGCCACGGCUAACUACGUG